CGGCAGCGGCUGAUCUGCCAUUCUAGCGAUUCCAGCUUCAUGCAGGCGAGUUGCAGCCUGCAAUCCGAACUGAGAACGGUUUUUUGCGAUUGGCUCCCCCUCGCGGGUUAGCGACGUAUUGUACCGUCCAUUGUAGCACGUGUGUAGCCCUGGAAUAAAAGGCCAUGAGGACUUGACGUCAUCCCCACCUUCCUCCAGCUUACCGCUGGCGGUCUCCUGCGAGUUCCGCCCUUUCGGGCAUGGCAACACAGGACAAGGGUUGCGCUCGUUGCGGGACUUAACCCAACAUCUCACGACACGAGCUGACGACAGCCAUGCAGCACCUCGACUGGACCCCCUUGCGGGGUAAAAGUGUUUCCACCUCCGUUGACCAGCCGUUCGAGCCCAG
This 388-nucleotide ribosomal RNA is filed under the name uncultured bacterium. Its description in RNAcentral is "partial 16S ribosomal RNA". The record is from RNAcentral.